AUACGUAGGGGGCAAGCGUUAUCCGGAUUUACUGGGUGUAAAGGGAGCGUAGACGGUUUGGCAAGUCUGAUGUGAAAGCCCGGGGCUCAACCGCGGGACUGCAUUGGAAACUGUCAGACUUGAGUGCAGGAGAGGUAAGUGGAAUUCUUAGUGUAGCGGUGAAAUGGGUAGAUAUUAGGAGAAACACCAGUGGCGAAGGCGGCUUAUAGGACAGUAACUGACGUAGAGGCGCGAAAGCGUGAGGAGCAAACAGGAUUAGAUACCCUGGUAGUCCACGCCGUGAACGAGGAAUACUAGGUGUUGGGAGACAAUAGUUUCUCGGUGCCGCAGCAAACGCAAUAAGUAUUCCACCUGGGGAGUACGUUCGCAAGAAUGAAACUCAAAUGAAUUGACGGGG
RNAcentral lists this ribosomal RNA (397 nucleotides) under uncultured bacterium. RNAcentral's name for it is "partial 16S ribosomal RNA". It matches the Rfam family "Bacterial small subunit ribosomal RNA", at positions 523 to 918 of the family's 1533-position model. The record is from RNAcentral.